Long non-coding RNA from Prionailurus viverrinus (fishing cat), 893 nucleotides. RefSeq lists it as uncharacterized. NCBI's taxonomy places the organism in Eukaryota, Metazoa, Chordata, Mammalia, Carnivora, Felidae. The record is from RefSeq and is a predicted model, not a curated record. The transcript is spliced from 4 exons.
AGUAGCUCUGAAAUAGCUCCCUCUUCCCCUUCACAUUGCUCUACCUGUUCCCCCACCCCCAAUCCUGUGUCCCCUUCUCUGAGCACACAGCUAGACUGCAUUGCCAGCCUCCUUUGCUGCCAAGUGUGGCCACAUGACUUAAGUUCCUAACAGCAGUGGUGGAGUGAGUCUAUUCUCAAGAAAGAAUCAGCAGGCAGGCUCAGAAUCCCCAAGUGCACACCUAUCAACCCACUACAUGCUGGAAGGCGAGGAGGGCACCUCCAGUGGACAACUUGGAGGAAGGCCAGCUAGAGCAUGAAACCCAAAGGUGCCACAUACCCACACUCCACCCAGCUGAAAGAAGGUGGCUCACAAAAAAUCACCGGAGCAUCGCCUGGGUUCCCACUGCCAGGACUCCACCAAGAUCCCCCCGCGGGGCACAGGCUUUAGCUCGCCACCAGCACGCAGCCCUCUCUCCAGCAAACAAACUGCCAAGGAGUCUUUGAGCUCCCUCUUGGGAUCUUCCCUUUAGGAACUCAGCCACCAUGCUGUGAGAAGCCUGGGUCAUCAAGAGGCCACGUGGAGGUGUUCCAGUAGACAGCCCAGCUGAGCUUCUGGCUGAUGGCUAGCAUCCACUGUCAGCGAUGUGAAUAAGAUCUUGAACAUUUCAGACAACUCCAGCUCCCAUGUGAUUGCAACCCCAGCCAACAUCACACUAGGCAUAAGAACUACCCAGCAGAAUCAAGUCAACCCACACAACUGUGAGAGUUAAUAAAAUGGUUGUUGUUUCAAGUCACUAUGUUUUGGAGGAGUUAGGCUGCAACAGAUAACCCAAACACAAUCUCAGAGAGAACCACUGUUGGUGACAGCGGCCAGAAGGGGCAAAUGUUGGGGCGCCUGGCUGGCUCAGUCAG